This 211-nucleotide ribosomal RNA is filed under the name uncultured Cytophagales ESR 14. RNAcentral describes it as "partial 16S ribosomal RNA". It matches the Rfam family "Bacterial small subunit ribosomal RNA", at positions 316 to 524 of the family's 1533-position model. Lineage: Bacteria; Pseudomonadati; Bacteroidota; Sphingobacteriia; Sphingobacteriales. The record is from RNAcentral.
GUACUGAGACACGGACCAGACUCCUACGGGAGGCAGCAGUGAGGAAUAUUGGACAAUGGGCGCAAGCCUGAUCCAGCCAUGCCGCGUGCAGGAUGACGGUCCUAUGGAUUGUAAACUGCUUUUGCACAGGAAGAAACAACUCUACGUGUAGAGUCUUGACGGUACUGUGAGAAUAAGGAUCGGCUAACUCCGUGCCAGCAGCCGCGGUAAU